UUGUAUUGCCUCCAUUGGACUCCUUUAUAUAUAUAUAUAUAAUAUCCACCCAUUUGACCCAUAGGUUAUCUGCUUUUUGAGCAAUGUUCCAUACAUACUUAGCAAUGGCAGCCUCAUUCCAUACUACACAGUCCCUUACCCCUAAUCCUCGUUUUUGUUUAGGUCUGCGAACUACAUCCCAAGCCUCCAAUGGUACUUUAUUAGAAUGUUCUUUCCCAUCCCAUAUAUAAUUCCCACAUAGUGUUGUUAUUUUUUUCAACACCAUUUUAGGAAGAAGAAAAAUUGUAGACCAAUAAGCAUGUAUGUGCAGUAACACUGAAUUCACCAGCUGCACCCUCCCAGCAUAUCACAGACUCCAUGACUCCAUGUCUUGAUUAUGCUUGUCAUUUUAUGUGUGAGUACCUCACAAUCCAUAGCAGAUAGCUUUUUUGCUGCAACUGGUACCCCCAGAUACUUAAAAGGUAAUGUUCCUUUCUUGUAUCCAGUAAUCUCACAUAUAUAUUCCAGCUCUUGCUUUGCCAUAUUUGCACUGAAUACAUUUGAUUUGCUUGCAUUUGUUGUCAGUCCUGAGGCCUAUGAAAAAGUUUGUAGUCCCCUGAGCAUCAACAUUUCCGACUGAUAAUUCCCUUUGCAGAACAUCAGUAAGUCAUCUGCAAAACAUAAAUGGUUUAGCUUUAUCCUUUUGCAUUUUGUAUGUAAUCCGAACUCCUUCAUCUUUUCCACUUUAUUUAGGAUUCCGGUAAGAUAUUCCAUGCAUAUAACAAAGAUCGAGGGUGAUAUAGGAUCGUCAUGUCUUAAGCCUCUUUUUCCUGCUAUGUUUCCAUAUUAUCCCCCAUUUAUUGCUAUCAUGUACUGUGUUGUUGUUAUACAAGCCAUGAUCCAUUUGAUGAACCUUUAAGGAAAAUUCACUACAUGCAACAUUUCUUCUACAAAUGCCCACUCCAAACUGUUAUAUGCUUUCUUCAAAUCUAUUUUUAUUAAGCAGCUUGAGUUGUGUUUUUCUUUCUGUAUAGUCUGACGAAAUCCUGACAGAUCAACACAUUUUGCACUAUUGUCCUCCCUUCAAUGAAUGUACUCUAGUUAUCUGAAAUGAUAGUUGGCUAUAGAGGAAACUUUAAUAUCCCAACAUUUACAUACACAUUGGACUCUUGUAUGCAAGCCUCUAAAAGUACCAUAUAACUUAACUUAGUCGGGAUAGGGUCCCACCGUACCCAAAAUGACUGAAACAUAUAAUUCAAUACCUAUCGACUUCUGUACAUCUACUUCAGAGAAGUGGAGUACGAUAACCAACAGCUAAAAUGAGCCCCCUACAUAGGAGGGAUGUCAUCGGGUCUAUCGAUAUAUGUGGGCAUGAACACAACACCCAAAAGAAAAGGGCGUCAAUACAAAAAAUGUACCGAGUAUGUAGAUUAAUAAUGUAUGUAUACCAAAAGCAUAACCUAGGAGGUAUGAAUACACAAUUUCAAUCUUAAUACAGAAAAUAAGCCACUGGGGGUGAACUGCAAUAUCCAUGAAUCAUAAAUGUAUGUAAAUUAUAUAAAAAUCAAGCCACUCAUUAGGCCAAUGCAUAUGGUGCAAUAUAAUAUUAUUCAGCCACUCUUUGGGGCAUAUGAUCUCAUAUUAUACCCAACUUCACAGAGGACUCGAUAAAGUCCCAUGCUUUUAUCAUAUCAUACCCGAUCUCAUGAGGUCUCGAUUGUACUAGGCCUUUAGAAGACUCGGUCUUACCCAGCCUGAUGAGAUCUCGGUUGUGCCCAGUCUUAACAAAACAUAGUGUACCUGGUCUCAAGAACGCUUAGUAAUAUUUCAUAUUAUAUUAUUCUAUAUCCGGCCUUAUAGAGGGCUCAGCAACGUCUCACGUCAUAAUCAACUGAUCAGUAAUUGAUUUUGUACCGAGCCAACUAUACUGCAGCUCGGUGUGUGUGUCUGUGUGUGUCUGUGUGUGUGUGUGUGUAUAUAUAUAUAUAUAAAGAGAGAGAGAGAGAGUAAGAGAGAGAGAGAGUAAGAGAGAGAGAGAGAGAGAGAAAGCAUUGCAAGACCAUAUUUAAGAGAUAUCAAGGUUAGACUCUGAGUGAAUUACGUUUCACGAACUUACGAUACCUUCCUAGAAUAUCUUAGACUUAAAAGAAAAUGCCACCGGUAAAGAAUGAAUGAGAACAUGAACAUCGCUAUCAAAAAGGCUUACAACAUAAUGUGACGACCCAAAGGGUCAUCACCUAUUUUCUUAUCUAUAUUGUGCUUUCGAGGCCUGUAAAACCUCAUUAAGAGUUACCUAGAUUUGCAUGCAUAGUCCAGGCGCAUAGUCGGAAAGCUUAAAUUUGGUAUUUUCUAUGAAAAAUGCUAAGUUUUGAUGUUAAAAUUAAUAAAUUUGACUUCGGUCAAUAUUUUGGUAAACAGAGCCGGAUCCGUGAUUUGACGGUCCCGGAGUGUCCGUAGAAAAAUAUAGGACUUGGGCAUAUUCCCAAAUCGAAUUCCGAGGUCCCAAACCCGAGAAAUGAACUUUUAAGUAAAAUUGCUUUCUGAAAAUAUUUAAGAAAAUUGGAAAUAAAAUCUAAUUAUAAAGUGAUUGUAUCGGGCCCGUAUUUUGGUUCCGACGCCAGGUAAAAGUCUUAUAUAUGAUUUAAGAUGUUUCUAUAAAGUCUGAUCGAAAACGGAUGUCGUUUGAUGUGUUUCGAACUUAAAAUGGAAAAUUUGAUGUUUUAUGAAAUUUGAAAGAAUUUAUGGAUUUUGAAGCUUAAUUCGAUGUAUAUGAUGUUAUUUUGGCGAUUUGAUCGCGCAGAUAAGUCUGUAAGAUGUUGUUGAGGUUGUGUGUAUGUACGAUUUGGAGCCCUGAGGGCUCGAGUGUGUUUUGGAUAUGCCACAGAUGCAAUUUGAACCUUUGAGAAAAUUUGGUGUAUUUGGCUCUGCAAUAUUCGCAUUUGUGAAGCAAGUCUCGCAAAUGCAACCAUUUAGUUCUCCAAUGCGAAAGUGAGCUAGUCGCAAAUGCAACGUUUUUGCUCGCAAAUGCGAGGUUCAGGAUUUCUCAUUUGGGAACCCUGUUUUGCUUUUCCCACAUCUGCAGAGGUCGGGGUUUGCAAAUGCGAACCCUUGUUCACAAUUCUCACAUCUGAGGGCUGCAUAUUUUACACUUAGCCGAAUUUUGAACCAUUUUUAACAUCCUUUUAUAACACAAACUUCUUUGGGCGAUUUUUCCAAGAAAAAAUCUUCUUCAAAAUUAACUAAGUUAUUUUUUACUCAUUUCUUUCAUUUAUUAACAUCAUUUAACAUGUUUCAACCUAAAAUCAAAGAUUUUCAUGGAAUAAAUCGGGGGUUUUGGUUAGAACUUAGGUUUUUUUAAAUUUGGGGAUUUGGACCUCAAUUUGAGGUCUGAUUUCAAAACAAAUCAUAUAUUUGGGUCUGUGGGGAAUGGGUAAUGGGGUUUUGGUUCGAAUCUCGGGUUUUGACCACGUGGGCCGGGGGCAAUUUUUGACUUUGUGGGUAAAACUUUGGGAAUUUAUUUUUAUGCAUUCAAAUUGAUUCAUUUAGCAUUUAUUGAUGUAAUUAAGUAACUUGUGAAUAAAUUUGAGCGGAUUUGUGGUGGAAUCAAGGGAUAAAGUUAUAAUUGAGACUUGAGUUGAGUUCAAAGCAUCAAGGUAAGUAUUCAGUCUAACCUUAGCUUGAGGGAUUAGGAGUUGAGUCAUAUUUUCUACUGGUUUUGUGUUGAGUACGAAGUAUAGGCACGAUAACGAGCAUCUAUAGGUUGGUGCCAAACAUGCCCGUGGGUCUUAAAUUGAUAAUUGUUGUAAUCUUAAUUGAAUCUAUGGAAGCUUUGAUUGAUCAUUUUCGAUAUCGAGUAAGGAUUUAGUUUAUUUAUGUAGGCUUUAGUUAUGACUGAGUAUUGGUAUUAGUUGUGCCAAGUAGAGGUUGGAUAAGAUUGGUUAUAUCAGACUCUCCCUUGCUGGGACGUUUGAUUUGAUAUUAUUGCUUCCCUUGCCGGGAAGUUAUUACUUUUCUUUUGUUCAUUUAUCGGGAAGUUAUUAUAUUGAUUUGUUCCCAUGCCGGUAUUGUAUUAUUAUACUGUGUUGGAUUGAAAUGGGAGAGGGUGGUACGCCUACCACAAGUGAUAUUAAAAUGAGAAUACCACAAGAUAUUGAUGAAAUAGGAGCGGGUGGUACGCCUACCACGUGUUAUGUUAAACUGGGAGCGGGGUGGUAUGCCUACCAAGGGAGAUGAGAAAUGGGAUCAUGUUGCACGCCUGCAACGAGAUGAGUAUUGAAAGUAAAAGUUGCCUUUGGUUAUCCUAAUCUGUGUUAAUAGCCUAAUUGUUGAUUUCCUUAUUAUCUCGUGUGAAAUUCUGCUUAUUUUGUUAUCCCCAAAGCAUGUCUUCCCCUCCCUUGUUUUACUUAUUUAUUUCCGGUUAUGUCUUUGCCAUAUAUUAUAUAUCUGUACAGGUUUAUCUGGAGUCUGGUCCUAGCCUCGUUACUACUUUACCGGGGUUAGGCUGGACACUUACCAUCAAAUGGGGUCGGUUGUGCUGAUGCAAUACUCUGUACGUUUUUGCACAAAUCUAGGUGUCGGAGCAGAUUACGGUGCGCAGUAGUAAUCAGGGAGUCGACCUUCAGUCCACGAGACUCUGAGGUAGCCUUACUGGUGUUCGUAG
RNAcentral lists this long non-coding RNA (4639 nucleotides) under Nicotiana benthamiana. Its description in RNAcentral is "long non-coding RNA (NBEN_LNC011589)". Lineage: Eukaryota; Viridiplantae; Streptophyta; Magnoliopsida; Solanales; Solanaceae. The record is from RNAcentral.